UAGAUAAUGUGGAAGGAACACCAGUGGCGAAAGCGGCUUGCUAGAUCGUAACUGACGUUGAGGCUCGAAAGUAUGGGUAGCAAACGGGAUUAGAUACCCCGGUAGUCCAUACCGUAAACGAUGGGUGCUAGUUGUUAAGAGGUUUCCGCCUCCUAGUGACGUAGCAAACGCAUUAAGCACCCCGCCUGAGGAGUACGGCCGCAAGGCUAAAACUUAAAGGAAUUGACGGGGACCCGCACAAGCGGUGGAGCAUGUGGUUUAAUUCGAAGAUACGCGAAAAACCUUACCAGGUCUUGACAUACCAAUGAUCGCUUUUGUAAUGAAAGCUUUUCUUCGGAACAUUGGAUACAGGUGGUGCAUGGUCGUCGUCAGCUCGUGUCGUGAGAUGUUGGGUUAAGUCCCGCAACGAGCGCAACCCUUGUUAUUAGUUGCCAGCAUUUAGUUGGGCACUCUAAUGAGACUGCCGGUGAUAAACCGGAGGAAGGUGGGGACGACGUCAGAUCAUCAUGCCCCUUAUGACCUGGGCAACACACGUGCUACAAUGGGAAGUACAACGAGUCGCAAACCGGCGACGGUAAGCUAAUCUCUUAAAACUUCUCUCAGUUCGGACUGGAGUCUGCAACUCGACUCCACGAAGGCGGAAUCGCUAGUAAUCGCGAAUCAGCAUGUCGCGGUGAAUACGUUCCCGGGUCUUGUACACACCGCCCGUCAAAUCAUGGGAGUCGGAAGUACCCAAAGUCGCUUGGCUAACUUUUAGAGGCCGGUGCCUAAGGUAAAAUCCGAAUGUUGAUC
RNAcentral lists this ribosomal RNA (792 nucleotides) under Oenococcus oeni. RNAcentral's name for it is "bacterial SSU rRNA". It matches the Rfam family "Bacterial small subunit ribosomal RNA", at positions 691 to 1482 of the family's 1533-position model. The record is from RNAcentral. Lineage: Bacteria; Bacillati; Bacillota; Bacilli; Lactobacillales; Lactobacillaceae.